UUGCUUGGUAGUUGUUCAAGACUCCUAAGCACUCUCAAGUGCUGCUUUGUGAUAAUUGUUGAAACAUGCUACACUUAGGAUGGACUCAAUGCCUCAUCGACGUGAAAAUCCGCUCCCAAAUGCCGAAAUGGCACAUAUUAUGGCACAGCAUAUGGCUGCUGUACUCCCAGAUAUUAUUGCUUAAGUGAAUCAAGCCAACAAUAACCAGAAUGCUCCAUGCAAUUUCAAAAGCU
This 233-nucleotide long non-coding RNA is filed under the name Helianthus annuus (common sunflower). Its description in RNAcentral is "sRNA HanXRQr2_Chr02g0062491". Lineage: Eukaryota; Viridiplantae; Streptophyta; Magnoliopsida; Asterales; Asteraceae. The record is from RNAcentral.